Molecule: ribosomal RNA, 610 nt
Filed under: Glomus sp. MS
Lineage: Eukaryota; Fungi; Glomeromycota; Glomeromycetes; Glomerales; Glomeraceae
Description: SSU rRNA
Rfam family: Eukaryotic small subunit ribosomal RNA
Source: RNAcentral
GGGUCAGCAGGUCGGUCGUGCCACUGGUAUGAACUGGCCUCGCUGAUCCCUCCCUCUUGACGAACUGUGAUGCCAUUAAUUUGGUGUCGCAGGGAAUCAGGACUGUUACUUUGAAAAAAUUAGAGUGUUUAAAGCAGGCUCACGCUUGAAUACAUUAGCAUGGAAUAAUGAAAUAGGACGUUUGAUCCUAUUUUGUUGGUUUCUAGGAUUGACGUAAUGAUUAAUAGGGAUAGUUGGGGGCAUUAGUAUUCAAUUGUCAGAGGUGAAAUUCUUGGAUUUAUUGAAGACUAACUACUGCGAAAGCAUUUGCCAAGGAUGUUUUCAUUAAUCAAGAACGAAAGUUAGGGGAUCGAAGACGAUCAGAUACCGUCGUAGUCUUAACCAUAAACUAUGCCGACUAGGGAUCGGAUGAUGUUAAUUUUUUAAUGACUCAUUCGGCGCCUUACGGGAAACCAAAGUGUUUGGGUUCCGGGGGGAGUAUGGUCGCAAGGCUGAAACUUAAAGGAAUUGACGGAAGGGCACCACCAGGGGUGGAGCCUGCGGCUUAAUUUGACUCAACACGGGGAAACUCACCAGGUCCAGACAUAGUAAGGAUUGACAGAUUGAGAGC